Long non-coding RNA from Musa acuminata AAA Group (dessert banana), 3185 nucleotides. RefSeq lists it as uncharacterized. NCBI's taxonomy places the organism in Eukaryota, Viridiplantae, Streptophyta, Magnoliopsida, Zingiberales, Musaceae. The record is from RefSeq and is a predicted model, not a curated record. The transcript has 7 exons.
AAUUACAUGAUCAUUUUACCCAAUUGCACAAGUACUCAUACAUUUAUGUUUUGACUUCUUAAUAUCAAUCCUCCUUGGGAUAGACAUUAGUUUGUAGCAUAUUUUUGCAAAGAAAUCCAAUUUUACAGGACAUUAUUAAUAACAUAUUGUGGGCAUUUGGCUUAUUUGUGGCCUUCAAUUAAGUCCCACUGAAAUAGAUUGUUGUUUGGUGCCUUCAGAUGACUUUAUUUUCCGUAAGGAAUCUCAAACUGGGUGGGAUACUGAAGAAGUUAUAAAUUCCCAGGAACAUUUCUGUAACUUGUCAUAUUCGGAGCAGAAAAAGAGGAACAAAAUAUUCGUUGAUAAUUUUCAAAAGAGAAAUUUUUAAUAUGCAGAAAUUACAUGAUAGUUUAUAAAGUUUACAUUUUUAUUAUUUUUUCUACUAAACUUUUCCUUUACAGAGGCUAGAAGGGAUGAACCCAUUGGAUGAGACUUAGUGGACUGGAUGGUAUCAAUGUACUCAGCCUAAUAAAAAUCCUUGAUACAUAACCAGUCCAUGAUCUGCUGGUUCUGUAUCAGCAGCAAUUUGGUCCUUGAACCACAACUUUCAUUUAGAAUUAUAUGGAAGAUGUAGUUGUUUCUUUUUCAUCCGAGUCUUAAAAUGGUUAUUCUUUUAUGCAUAUCUUCCUUGAUUGGAGUUAUAUGCUUUUUCCUAUUCAAAGAAAACAAUUCUUUCAUGGAUUAUGUGUCAUAUUUCUUACCAAUGUGGAAUUCCUUUUUCUCGAUGGUUGUAGGUUUGUGAUUGCAUCUACAUAAAUGUUAGACUCUUGUUGGUAAAAAAGAAACCUUCUUUUGAUAGAUCUUUGGUGUGAAUUGUGGAAAGAUGAAGGAACAAGGGUCUCGAGAAGUUCUAAGAUUGUUGGGAACAUCAAGAUGAUGUUAAUGCAAAUACUAGUUGAUAUUAGGGUGGGCAACUGUUUGUCGAAGGAUCCUUUAUGACUAUUCAACAGAUACUGCACCACUCAAAGCAAUUUCAGAUUAUGGGAACAGAACUAAAGAUCUUCUGCUCAUUCAGAUCACCACACCAUGCAUGUUGAGUCUGUUCAAGCUUGUCCUCUCCAAAUUGUUUCAUGCAUGAGGGCAAAUCUUUAUGACAGGCUCUUAUCCCUAUAGUGGUGUCAUGUGUAUCUUGCUCCUUUUGUGAUCGAUCAGAAGUCAAGCAACUGUCUACUGAACAAUCAGCAAAGUGGGCUGGAGUUAGUUGUGACAUAUGCAGGACAGGAAUUUCUUCCACACCUAGAAAUGAGUUGCCAAAGCAUUCACCUGAGACUUUAGUGACCAGCUCCGAGAGUUGGACUUUGGCAACUUCCAGCCCUACAGAACCUAAGCUCUGCUUCUCAAGUCUCUCUUGGGCCUUCUCCAGCACCAACUGCAAAUACCUUCCCUGUGCCUCUAUUCGUACUUCUUUUAUUUGCAGGGGAGCUGUCAAAGAAGCAUCUGGCCAUCCAAACAAGUUCUUUAAUGUUUUGGGUUCUCAAUGGUGUGUACCAUUUCAGACCGUUCACAGAGAGGAAUGGUGAGGUCCCGAGUAGACUUCAGGUCACAGAAUGCUGUUCCAGAUUUAAAUAAAAGAUCAUGAAUGAAUGAUUCUUUGGCAGUCAGUCAUGCAGCUAAGUGGUCAUCACAAACUCCACCCGGUUUGCGUACCUUACAUGAGCCGUCAGCGGGUCCACUUUUCCCCGAAUGACAAGACGAGCAGGUAGUCGAGUGGUACCCAAACGGGCCGUUGUUAUUGCAACCUCUUCCGCCUCGCAACCCGCGGGUUCGCUCGGUGGGAUGGGAUCUUUUUCGCGAAUGCCGGAGAAGGAAGGCGUCGGGGAGGCGGCGGAAGACGAAGAUCGUGUACGACUUGGGCCCUGCGUCGAGGUCGAUUAGGGUGAACGUUGCCCAGGAUCAACUUUUAUUCCGCCGUUCCCGCUCCAUUCACCGGGAAAGACCCUAGACAAUCUCCGCAGAGCCCUGGAGAAUACCGGCUUUCUCUGCGCCGCCAUUCUCGACGCAAAGGGUCCAGGUUCCAAAUGGAUUUUCCAAAGGUGGCAAAUGUAUCCAUUUGAAGAAGUGUCAACAAAUCACCGUCGCUAUUGGUUACCGCAUUAAGGGUGACGAUACCAUGAUAGCCAUGAGCUACAGAAAGUUGGCUGAGGAUUUGGAGCCAGACUGUCACAUUAUAUGCUAUUGAGGCUAUUGCACUUGUGGUUCUUUCUGUGAGUAGUUAGGGCUGGUCAGUUGCUCCGUUAGAAUUCUGCAAUUCUUGGAGAGAGAGAAAACAUAAAUAUUCCAGGUGUUGUGAUCUUUUUGCACCAAUAGAGAAGGAAAAGGAGAAUAUCCUAUAAAAGGGACAUCCCAAACAAAAUUGGCAUGAUUGCCUUCUCCCUUAUAACCAGAGGUUCCAACUUUCUGAAGUUUGGAAAGGCUGGGAAUCAAGAAGGGGUAGCCAAUUUUGAUGCUACUCUUGUGAAUUUUUAUGGUUGCACGGAGAGAUUUGAGAAUAGAAAUUCCUUUUGAAAAGAUAUAAUAUGCUUGAAAUUUGAUGUCCCCCUUCAAGCAGAAGCAACUGUUGUAGCUAAUGCUGUUCUUGAUUGCAGUGACUGAGACGUGCUCAGUGGUGAAACAGCUGGAGGUGCUUACCUGAAACUAGCAAUUCAGAUUGCUCGGAAGAAGUCUCUUUUAUGGAUCAUGGAUCUGUUUUAAAGGAAUCAUGGCAGAACACCUGUUCAUAUGAGUCCUGUUGAGAGCCUUGCAUCAUAGUUUGUCUGAAAUGCUAAUCCUACUAAGGCAUCUCUCGUCUUGGUCCUGACCAGUAGAGGAAGUUUUCUAAACUAGCAAAAUACAGGCCAGCAAUGCCAAUACUAUCUGUAGUGGUUCCUUGGUUGAUAGAUUUUUUUUCCGACUGGUACCAGUAUUGAUCUCUGCAAUUUCCAAGGCCUCAGACACUGAAUUUGUUAUACAGCAUGCAAAGGCCAAAUCCAGAUAAAAAAUUGUGACACUGCAUUGAAUUGGAGUUGCAUCUAUGAAUCAGAUUUUGACAAUCAAAUGAUUCAUUGAUGAUAGCUGAAAAAUCUCCUGUGCACAAUUUUGUUCAGUAGUAUUUAAGUUUUCUAUCAGGACACAAUUUUGUUAACUAGUAUUUGUCCCUAUUUUGAGUU